AGUGAACGCUGGCGGUAGGCCUAACACAUGCAAGUCGAACGGCGGCACAGUAAGAGCUUGCUCUUACGGGUGGCGAGUGGCGGACGGGUGAGGAAUACAUCGGAAUCUACUUUUUCGUGGGGGAUAACGUAGGGAAACUUACGCUAAUACCGCAUACGACCUACGGGUGAAAGCAGGGGAUCUUCGGACCUUGCGCGAUUGAAUGAGCCGAUGUCGGAUUAGCUAGUUGGCGGGGUAAAGGCCCACCAAGGCGACGAUCCGUAGCUGGUCUGAGAGGAUGAUCAGCUACACUGGAACUGAGACACGGUCCAGACUCCUACGGGAGGCAGCAGUGGGGAAUAUUGGACAAUGGGCGCAAGCCUGAUCCAGCCAUACCGCGUGGGUGAAGAAGGCCUUCGGGUUGUAAAGCCCUUUUGUUGGGAAAGAAAAGCAGCAGGUUAAUACCCCGCUGUUCUGACGGUACCCAAAGAAUAAGCACCGGCUAACUUCGUG
This 492-nucleotide ribosomal RNA is filed under the name uncultured bacterium. RNAcentral describes it as "partial 16S ribosomal RNA". It matches the Rfam family "Bacterial small subunit ribosomal RNA", at positions 29 to 507 of the family's 1533-position model. The record is from RNAcentral.